This 513-nucleotide ribosomal RNA is filed under the name uncultured fungus. Its description in RNAcentral is "eukaryotic LSU rRNA". The stretch from base 82 to 236 matches the Rfam family "5.8S ribosomal RNA". Lineage: Eukaryota; Fungi. The record is from RNAcentral.
UUAUUCAUAAACCACUGUAUGUCAAAAUAGAAUGUAAAAUCAAAUUUCUUCGCCCUAAAAAAGCGUCGGUAAACUUAUAACAACUUUCAACAACGGAUCUCUUGGCUCUCGCAUCGAUGAAGAACGCAGCGAAAUGCGAUAAGUAAUGUGAAUUGCAGAUUUUCAGUGAAUCAUCGAAUCUUUGAACGCACCUUGCGCUCCUUGGUAUUCCGAGGAGCAUGCCUGUUUGAGUGUCAUUAAAUCAUCAACCCCGAAUCGAUUCGCUUCGAACCUCGGAGGCUUGGACUUGGAGCGUGCUGGCCCACACCCGGGUCGGCUCCUCUUUAAAUGCAUUAGCGGAAAAGUUACCUUUGGUCUAUUUCGGUCAUCAGCGUGAUAAUCGUGUUGCGCUGUUUUCCUCGAUCGAAGGGUUCCGCUUACAAUGGUCUACGGACAAACCUUUAAUAACAACCAAUUUGACCUCAAAUCAGGUAGGACUACCCGCUGAACUUAAGCAUAUCAAUAAGCGGAGGA